Molecule: transfer RNA, 65 nt
Filed under: Omnitrophica WOR_2 bacterium SM23_29
Lineage: Bacteria; Pseudomonadati; Candidatus Omnitrophota
Description: tRNA-Arg
Source: RNAcentral
GCGCCCGUAGCUCAAUUGGAUAGAGCACCAGUCUACGGACCGUUCGAGCCGGCCCGGGCGCGCCA